UCCCUGGUCCAGGAAGAUCCCACAUGCCGUGGAGCAAUUAAGCCCAUGUGCCACAACUACUGAGCCUGAGUUCUGCAGCCCGCAAGGCUCAAAUACUGAGCCUGCGAGCCACAACUACUGAAGCCCGUGCACCCUAGAACCCGCACACUGCAACUACGGAGCCCACUUGCCACAACUACGGAAGCCUGUGUGCCAAGAGCCCGUGCUCCGCAACAAGAGAAGCCACUGCAAUGAGAAGCCCAUGCACCGCAGCAAAGAGUAGCCCCCGCUCGCUGUAACUAGAGAAAGCCCGUGCCUACCAACAAAGACCCAACACAGCAAAAAAAAAAAAAAAAAGAAUUCAUCAUCCAUUUUUCAGUAUGCUUUGAGAAUUUAAGCUAUUUCUUUUUAUAAGAAUAAACAAAUCCAAGCUGUCAUCUGGGGAAGAGUUUCAUAAAUUAAACAAGAAAAUAAUUUGAAAAAAGAUAAAGCGCAAAUCACACUGAGACUCAAACAUAAGCAACAACCACAAGACAGCCAAUGGGAGCUCAGAAUGAAAGUUAUGUUGCUUCAGCCCUCUACAUUCCCAUCUUCAAACAAUAGGUAUGUGCCCAUCUUUGGCAAAUCAGCUCUGUAGUAACUGGACUCUGACUUAUUCUCUGUGGUAUCAUCGGCACCAGGC
Molecule: long non-coding RNA, 661 nt
Organism: Balaenoptera acutorostrata (minke whale)
Lineage: Eukaryota; Metazoa; Chordata; Mammalia; Artiodactyla; Balaenopteridae
Exons: 3
Source: RefSeq, a predicted model, not a curated record